RNAcentral lists this ribosomal RNA (774 nucleotides) under uncultured Neocallimastigales. Its description in RNAcentral is "partial large subunit ribosomal RNA". It matches the Rfam family "Eukaryotic large subunit ribosomal RNA", at positions 23 to 649 of the family's 3401-position model. Lineage: Eukaryota; Fungi; Neocallimastigomycota; Neocallimastigomycetes; Neocallimastigales. The record is from RNAcentral.
UAUGUGAUCGUCUCUUGCAUAUCAAUAAGCGGAGGAAAAGAAACUAACAAGGAUUCCCCUAGUAACGGCGAGUGAAGCGGGAAGAGCUCAAAUUUGAAAUCUUAAAGGGUUUCCCUUUACGAAUUGUAGUUUAAAGAAGUGUUUUCUGUUGAGGUUUUGGUAAAAGUUCUUUGGAAUAGGACAUCAUAGAGGGUGAGAAUCCCGUAUUUGACCUUUACUUUCAACUUUGUGAUACACUUUCAAAGAGUCGGAUUGUUUGGGAAUGCAGUCCAAAAUGGGUGGUAAAUUUCAUCUAAAGCUAAAUAUUGGCGAGAGACCGAUAGCGAACAAGUACCGUGAGGGAAAGAUGAAAAGAACUCUGAAAAGAGAGUUAAACAGUACGUGAAAUUGUCAAAAGGGAAGCGUUUGACACCAGUGUUGUUUUUCUGAAAAUCAAUUAAAGAACUGUUUAUGCUAAGCUGUUUAGACUUUAUCAGCUAUCUGUUUAGUUUUGAGCUUUUCUUUAAUGCACUUUUCAGUUAACAAGUCAACAUCAAUUUCUUUUGCUGUAAAAAAGCUUGAGGAAGGUGGCUUGAGAUUCGUCUUAAGUGUUUAUAGCCUCUUGCCUAUGCAGUCGGAGAGAUUGAGGUCUGCAGCGUAGAUCCUUCGGGGCUAAAUGCAUUUGUGCUAAGUUAUAGCAUUUUAUAGACAACUUGUUGACUAUGAUUUGUCUUGUAGCUUACUCGCUUAUGUUAUUUUACCUACGCUUAGGAUGUUGAGUAGCGACAUACGCAC